UCGAUGGGAAACAGGUUAAUAUUCCUGUACUUGGUGUUACUGCGAAGGGGGGACGGAGAAGGCUAUGUUGGCCGGGCGACGGUUGUCCCGGUUUAAGCGUGUAGGCUGGUUUUCCAGGCAAAUCCGGAAAAUCAAGGCCGAGGCGUGAUGACGAGGCACUACGGUGCUGAAGCAACAAAUGCCCUGCUUCCAGGAAAAGCCUCUAAGCAUCAGGUAACAUCAAAUCGUACCCCAAACCGACACAGGUGGUCAGGUAGAGAAUACCAAAGCGAUCGAGCGAAUCCUGGUCAAGGAACUCGGCAAAUUGCUCCCGUGCCUUCGGCAUAAGGGAGACCCCCUGGGGUGACGCGCCUUGCGCGCUGGCUCCGGGGGGUGGCACAGACCAGGGGGUAGCGACUGUUUACCAAAAACACAGGUGCAUGCGAAGACGCAAGUCGCUGUAUAUGCACUGACGCCUGCCCGGUGCCGGAAGGUUAAGAGGA
This 482-nucleotide ribosomal RNA is filed under the name Chaetoceros curvisetus. RNAcentral describes it as "partial Bacterial large subunit ribosomal RNA". It matches the Rfam family "Bacterial large subunit ribosomal RNA", at positions 1415 to 1885 of the family's 2925-position model. The record is from RNAcentral. Lineage: Eukaryota; Bacillariophyta; Thalassiosirophyceae; Chaetocerotales; Chaetocerotaceae.